This 274-nucleotide ribosomal RNA is filed under the name uncultured bacterium. RNAcentral describes it as "partial 16S ribosomal RNA". It matches the Rfam family "Bacterial small subunit ribosomal RNA", at positions 523 to 796 of the family's 1533-position model. The record is from RNAcentral.
AUACGAAGGUCCCAAGCGUUAUUCGGAAUCACUGGGCGUAAAGAGUACGUAGGCGGUUUGGCAAGUCAGGUGUGAAAUCCCGAAGCUCAACUUCGGAACUGCAUCCGAUACUGCCAGACUAGAGUAAUGGAGAGGCAGGUGGAAUUCUCGGUGUAGCAGUGAAAUGCGUGGAUAUCGAGAGGAAGACCAAUGGCGAAGGCAGCCUGCUGGACAUUUACUGACGCUGAGGUACGAAGGCUAGGGGAGCGAAAGGGAUUAGAAACCCCGGUAGUCC